UCCCAACUUCCGACGUCCCGACGCUGACGACGGCCGACGCUCGAACCGACGAGUAGCCGAGUGAGCGACUCCGUACGUAGCGCUAUUUCAUCGCGAGAUGUGCCGUGAUCCGUGAUGAGUAUCACGAUGAUAUCGCGCAGUGAAUAAUGGACUAUUAUCGCACACAGGAUCGAGUGAGAAGACGAUCGCAGUGCUGGACUAACAUUUGGUCGAGAAUCGUCGCCCGUCGGAUAUCAACGUGAGAUUUAACUUACUUCGUACUCCAUCGCGAAAUAUUGGACAGCGGCUUCGUGAGUGUCCUGUGCAACGGAAGGAGGGGUGAGAGAAAAGAGAAGGAGACCUGACAAUCUAACCCAGACGUUCUGAGAGGAGGAGGAGGCCUCGGGCAAGGCUCGGGCCACAGCGGAGCAACCCUGGGACUCAUCGUAGCUACGGCGUGGCUGAAUAACUCCGCUCGUUGCGCAUCUGUUCGG
Temnothorax curvispinosus is the source of this 473-nucleotide long non-coding RNA. RefSeq lists it as uncharacterized. Lineage: Eukaryota; Metazoa; Arthropoda; Insecta; Hymenoptera; Formicidae. The record is from RefSeq and is a predicted model, not a curated record. The transcript is spliced from 4 exons.